UGAAUAUAAUUACAUUCCAAUUGAAGACUGGAGAAAGUUAGUGGCUAAUAGGUUGUCAAAAGAGUUUCAAGUUAAAUCAAAAAAAGGAAAAGAAAGGAGGGCAAAAUACGUUUAUAUUCAUCGAGUGAGUAGGAAAGGAUAUGCAGGACUUCAAGAAGAAUUGAUGCAAAAGACAGGUUCGAGGAAACCUAUUGAUAGAUGGGUCUUGUGGAAGCUAGCAAGAUUGAAAAAAGGUGAAUAUGAUGAAGUUACGAGGCCUGUAGUGGAAAAGAUUGAUGAGUUGACAAAGGCUGUUGAGGAAGGGAAGAUCACAUGUGUUGGCCAAAAGGAUAUCCUCACUUUAGCAUUGGGUACAUUAGAGCAUCCUGGACGGGUUAGAGGAAAAGGUGGAAAAAAAAAAGCCCAAACAAUUCUUCAACACACCAAAACCCACAAAAACUCUUGAAGAGGAGGAAUGUCAAAGGAUGUUAAUGGAGAAAGUCAAGAGCUUGGAAGAGGAGAUCAUUGCUUUGAAAGCUGGAAAAAAAGAACCCCUCACACCCCGCUCUGAAGUGAGCAACACAAACAUAAGGAAACAAUUGUUGCAACAUGAAGAAAUAGGAGGGAAGACUCAUGAUAGUGCUCAUGUGGAGAACCUAUCAGCACAAGGGACUCGAAAAGCUUCUCCACUAACUCAG
Long non-coding RNA from Vitis vinifera (wine grape), 677 nucleotides. RefSeq lists it as uncharacterized. The record is from RefSeq and is a predicted model, not a curated record. Lineage: Eukaryota; Viridiplantae; Streptophyta; Magnoliopsida; Vitales; Vitaceae. The transcript has 3 exons.